Chiloscyllium plagiosum (whitespotted bambooshark) is the source of this 2942-nucleotide non-coding RNA. Lineage: Eukaryota; Metazoa; Chordata; Chondrichthyes; Orectolobiformes; Hemiscylliidae. The record is from RefSeq and is a predicted model, not a curated record.
AUGAAUAGAAAGAUAAAUAAGAAAGCUGAAAAGCAUUGACUUUCUGCAAAUGAUGUAAUGUGUGUUACCAAUCAUAACAAAAAAAACCUUUGCAAUCUGAUGUGAGAGAAAAGAAGGCUUUCUGAAAAAAACAUUGACUUCAUGCCCUUUUCUGAUAUUUUUGCUUCUCCAGUGUUACAGUUCUCCAUCUGAUUCCUGACUUUCAAGGACAAUCCUUUGUUUAAUGGGCUGUUCAAUAUUAAAAUGAUUAAAUCCUUGACAAUAUACCUUGGACAUCGAAUUUCCAAUAAUCAGCUGCAGACAAUUUCUCAAUGACCCUCCAGUUGUGCCACCUAAUUUGCUAGUUCUUCUUAUGUCAACAUUAUUAUGGAUCAAGGACACGGGUAGUUGAGCAUGGGAUCUGGCAGCUUCUGCAGGCUACAAUACUGUAUGUUCACAGGUAUGCCAGGCUUACAGAGAAAGCGACGAUCUGCCUGAAGGAGACUAUCCCGCUGCCAAGCAAGGGGACUUUGUCCUGAUAAAGGACUGGGAGCGAAAGAAGUUGGGACCAAGAUGGAAAGGACUGUUCCAAGUGCUGCUAACCACUCCCACAGUUGUGAAAGUACAAGGCCAUCCUCUGUGGAUACACAAAACCAACUGCAAUAGAGUCAGCAUGGAAACAGACAACAACUAAGGACAAGGAUAUUUUCCAAACUUGUGACCUUGGUGACUUUGGGAGAGGGGGGCUUGACAAUAGAUGGAUCCCAAAUUGACCGUCCGCAAUAUCAUACCUUUUUGCACCUAGCCUAUCAGACAGCCUGCAUAACGGAGAGAGACAACCACUGCUGGGUGUGUGCCCACAUGCUCUUUCACUCGGUGGGAGGGAUCCCUUUGUGGCCUGUUUGCUGGCACAAACUGGCCGAAAGGCUUCAACGCAGGAGCCAUUCUGCUAACCUUGCUAACAUUUAUGCUGCACAAGAGUGGCAGUCAGCAGGGUAUAACCUGACCUCAUUCAGAGGCUGGUAUCACCCUAAUUACAACCAAUCACCAUAGGACCCCCACCUCCCUUGUAGUUCUCAACAACACCAUCGACUACACCAUUCAUUUCAGGUGGGAAGGGAAGCCCACCAAAUACAUUUAUGUGGGGAUGAGUGAAUGCUCAUCUACCACCUCCUGGGUUGAACCUAUUCGGAACUUGACAGAAUAUGGGUACUUUAUGUUUGAUUGGUCCAGCAUCCCCAACAGAACCUUAGGCCAACUCUGAAUAAUCCUGCUCCCAUUGAGGGGGGGGAGGCUGUUUCUGGCACAUACUUCAUUUGCAGAUUAAAAGCCUACCCCUGGCUUCCCUCCGAUUGGGAGGGGUCAUGCUACAUGGGGUAUAUUGUACCUCGUGUUCGAGUUUUGGGCAACCUGCCCUCAUCCCUGUGAUCCAGAAGAUCCCUCACCAGAUUCCUCAUCUGGGUGGGAAUGUCCCUCCUCAAAUGAUCAAAAGGAGGGAUUGAAAAUGUUAAAAUGCCACAGAGGGGUCAGUUCCUUGCUUUGUUUCUCUUUCAGAACACAUUGGGGACUCAAGGGUUAAAUGUUUCACUGCCAAAGGACUUACUGCCGUAUCAACUGAAGGCCUGUACUCUGACAGAACAUCUAAGUAGGGGGGAGGCUGACUGUAUCUCAGAAAUAGAGCCUAGUGGAGCCACAUAUGUGGAUUCUCCUGUAGCCCCAGCCCCACAUAGAGAUGUUUGCCCUUUCCAGACAAGACUGAUAGCCUUGACCACAGCCCUGUUAAAAUGCCUCCUGCUCCCACUGUCUUACUUCCCCUCCAUAACAUAGGUAUGUAAAUCUCCCACUUACAGGAGCAAAUCCCUUCUACCUUAAUCUCUUCCCAUCAGCACAUUAAUCAUGAAGAAUGCAAUAAUCAGUUUCUGUAAUCCAUUCACAUGUUAUCACAGGGCACCCACAUUUAUUUAUCGGGCUUUGUAAAUUCAUAAUUACCUACUUUAAACUGUGGUGACAAUCGCCUAUGUGACUGAUAAACCUUUUGUUUAAUUCCUAUAAAAUGUACUGUCUCUGUGUGUGAGGCAGAGAUUUGUGAAGAAGUGUCACUACAAGUAGACACAUGGCUACUUUGGAGACACUUUAAAUCUCUCACCGGCUGCCCAAUAAUAAAACUACUGCUGUUGUACAGAAAACUUGUAUUGUCUGGAUUUCUGGAACAAAGCAGACAUCAACAGGCAUGGAUAAUUUGAAUCGAAGAGUCUGUUUCCCAUGUUCUACAGCUCUGUGACUCUAUCGAUAGCUCCACACACAAAAGAAUAUUACCUUCAAAAAAAUGUCAUUAAAAGAAGAAAAUGGUAAUUGUCAGGAUAAGUCACACAUUAACCCAUUUGAGACAGAAUUACACAAUAGCCUCAAGCCACUUCAAGUAUUCACUCACUUCAGAAGUACUCCUCCCCAUUAUUUCACAACGUAGGCAGUCCAAAUGAGAUCAAAUCUUCUUCUCAGUUAAUCGGCUACAUUGUACUCCAAAGAACCAAUGGUGCACUGUCCAACCUUGAAUGAAAUGUUUAAUAUUGGACGUUUUAUAUUUUGUGGAAUCCAUAACAAACCCCCACAAACAACACAUACAAAAAUCCAACUGGGUGGGGGGGGUGAAGUGUGAUUAUUAAUCAGAAUACAUAGCAAGAUCUCCUUCCCUAAUAACUACCUUUAGUUCUGACUUAUUGUGUGUGAUUUCAAAUGUUUUGGUAUUUAAUCAGCAGAAGGUGUAUUUUUGAUAUAUCUUACACUUGAGCAAUUAAUUAGUGUGACAAGCAUUGAAUCAAAAGCAGUACAGCAAAGAACAUUUAUGUUCCUUUAAAUAGCUGUGGAAUCUCUUUUAUCAUGUAUUUUGAGGGCACACUAUGGGUGGAAUUUUCUCAGCCAGUGAAUGAAUUGGGCACUGGAAAAAUACAGUGAGAAUGGUAAAA